GAGUGCGCAGGCGGUUUUGCAAGACCGAUGUGAAAUCCCCGGGCUUAACCUGGGAACUGCAUUGGUGACUGCAAGGCUAGAGUGUGUCAGAGGGAGGUGGAAUUCCGCAUGUAGCAGUGAAAUGCGUAGAUAUGCGGAGGAACACCGAUGGCGAAGGCAGCCUCCUGGGAUAACACUGACGCUCAUGCACGAAAGCGUGGGGAGCAAACAGGAUUAGAUACCCUGGUAGUCCACGCCCUAAACGAUGUCUACUAGUUGUCGGGGAUUAAUUUCCUUGGUAACGCAGCUAACGCGUGAAGUAGACCGCCUGGGGAGUACGGUCGCAAGAUUAAAACUCAAAGGAAUUGACGGGGACCCGCACAAGCGGUGGAUGAUGUGAAUUAAUUCGAUGCAACGCGAAGAACCUUACCUGGUCUUGACAUGUACGGAACCCUCCAGAGACGGAGGGGUGCCUUCGGGAGCCGUAACACAGGUGCUGCAUGGCUGUCGUCAGCUCGUGUCGUGAG
Molecule: ribosomal RNA, 506 nt
Filed under: uncultured bacterium
Lineage: Bacteria
Description: bacterial SSU rRNA
Rfam family: Bacterial small subunit ribosomal RNA
Source: RNAcentral